UACGAAGGGGGCGAGCGUUGUUCGGAUUUACUGGGCGUAAAGGGCGCGCAGGCGGCUUUGUUUGUCAGGCGUGAAAGCCCCGGGCUUAACCUGGGAACUGCGUUUGAUACGGCAGGGCUAGAGUUCGGGAGAGGAGCGUGGAAUUCCCAGUGUAGAGGUGAAAUUCGUAGAUAUUGGGAAGAACACCGGUGGCGAAGGCGGCGCUCUGGACCGAGACUGACGCUGAGGCGCGAAAGCGUGGGGAGCAAACAGG
This 253-nucleotide ribosomal RNA is filed under the name uncultured bacterium. RNAcentral's name for it is "partial 16S ribosomal RNA". It matches the Rfam family "Bacterial small subunit ribosomal RNA", at positions 524 to 776 of the family's 1533-position model. The record is from RNAcentral.